AAAUGGAUUAUGGAGGAUUUCUGAGUAUUUUUCAGUAGAUUUAGGUUAAGCUUUAGAAAAAGCUCUCCUGGCAUAGUCAUAGAAAAUGCUUUGCUUAUAAAAAACAUUAUAAAAGCAAGUGGAGAGAAUCUUAGUACAGCUGCUUAGUUCAUUACUGAAGAGGACUAUUCCAAAAUAAUAGCCUGAAAUAUAUUCAGAUACUAGGUAACCAAGAACCCCUUUGCUAAGCAACCCUCUGAAAAUCUGUUGCUGCUAACUUCAGUGUUACAGAUUUGAUUUCACCAUGCUGCUGGCAGAGCUGCUAAAAGAUCUUACCAGACACGGCAGUCCAAUCAGGGAUGAGAGAGGCACCUUUUAGGGCACCUUCUCCAGCCCCCACUCCAUUUGGGGUGAGCAGAGUGGAUCCUAAAAAGGGAACUCAGUCAUGAAUACAGCUUCUGGACUACUCAACUGCCUCAAACCUUGAGUAACAGGAGAGGACAAUCCCAUCUACUGAUAUCAUCAACAUGUUGCCACAAAAGCACCUGGACCUCUCUGAACCAGAUAUUAAAGGAUGUGGGUAUCCCUAAAGUCCUGCUGAGGAGCAAACCCCUCAACCAGUUCAACCCCAGCUUAUUGGAUUCAGGCAAGGAGCUGUUAUUUUGGAUCCAGAAAUUGCUUGCAAUCCAAAUCCUCUGUUUCAAAUUCCAGAGGGCAAGUUAUGACCGAUGAGAAUAUUUUUUUCCCUGUUCUUUGGGCAUCAUGCACUGCUUGCCAUCUGAACACCUGUGUGCCUUUUUGUCUCAAGUCUAGAGCUUGGCAGGUGUGAAAACUAAAGGAAAUGGUUUGGAGAGAGUACAAGAAAGGAAAAUCAUGUGACUCUUGUCUGGUUGAUAGGGGUGAUUU
Non-coding RNA from Anolis sagrei ordinatus, 885 nucleotides. The record is from RefSeq and is a predicted model, not a curated record. Lineage: Eukaryota; Metazoa; Chordata; Lepidosauria; Squamata; Anolidae.